RNAcentral lists this microRNA precursor (80 nucleotides) under Marmota monax (woodchuck). The record is from RNAcentral. Lineage: Eukaryota; Metazoa; Chordata; Mammalia; Rodentia; Sciuridae.
GUGUGUGUGUGUGUGUGUGUGUGUGUGUGUGUGGUGCUGGGGAUUGAACCAGCACCACACAAACACACACAAAUAGGCAA